This 253-nucleotide ribosomal RNA is filed under the name uncultured bacterium. Its description in RNAcentral is "partial 16S ribosomal RNA". It matches the Rfam family "Bacterial small subunit ribosomal RNA", at positions 524 to 776 of the family's 1533-position model. The record is from RNAcentral.
UACGUAGGGACCAAGCGUUGUUCGGAUUUACUGGGCGUAAAGGGCGCGUAGGCGGCGUAAUAAGUCACUUGUGAAAUCUCCGGGCUUAACUCGGAGCGGCCAAGUGAUACUGUUAGGCUAGAGUGCAGAAAGGGCAAUCGGAAUUCUUGGUGUAGCGGUGAAAUGCGUAGAUAUCAAGAGGAACACCUGAGGCGAAGGCGAAUCUCUGGACAGUUACUGACACUGAGGCACGAAGGCCAGGGGAGCAAACGGG